This 253-nucleotide ribosomal RNA is filed under the name uncultured bacterium. Its description in RNAcentral is "partial 16S ribosomal RNA". It matches the Rfam family "Bacterial small subunit ribosomal RNA", at positions 524 to 776 of the family's 1533-position model. The record is from RNAcentral.
UACGUAGGGGGCUAGCGUUGUCCGGAUUUAUUGGGCGUAAAGAGCUCGUAGGCGGCUUGUCGCGUCGGAUGUGAAAGCCCGGGGCUUAACUCCGGGUCUGCAUUCGAUACGGGCAGGCUAGAGUCCGGUAGGGGAGCAUGGAAUUCCUGGUGUAGCGGUGAAAUGCGCAGAUAUCAGGAGGAACACCAGUGGCGAAGGCGGUGCUCUGGGCCGGAACUGACGCUGAGGAGCGAAAGCGUGGGGAGCAAACAGG